AAGGCUUGCUGCAAUGAAAAUUGAACGCUUAAGUAGUUAAUACAAGGGCGAGUUUUUUCUUGCAUCGCAUUGUGUGACCUACUUAAAUGACAAAUUUUCAAGACAUUUAUGGG
This 113-nucleotide microRNA precursor is filed under the name Drosophila virilis. RNAcentral describes it as "microRNA dvi-mir-1002 precursor". The stretch from base 15 to 100 matches the Rfam family "mir-1002 microRNA precursor family". Lineage: Eukaryota; Metazoa; Arthropoda; Insecta; Diptera; Drosophilidae. The record is from miRBase by way of RNAcentral.